GCGGCUUCCAAGUGACCAGUGUUUAUCAUGAACUCAAGCAUAAAGCUAGACUGGAGAAGAAAGAUAGGCAGUUGGUGGGUGAAAGGAUUCUGUGGCCACCUGAUAAUGGAUUACUGGUCAAAGAAUUAAUGCCAGUUGCUCAUGAGUCAUGAUGUUUAUGUUAGAGCUGAAGUUUUCUUAAGAGCAUUGCUGUGUAUGCAUGCAGAUAUGAAGAAGAAGAUGAAUAAGCUCACAGGAAGAAACAUAGCUAUGAUAAUUCUUGUAGUAAUGCUCAUUGCUUUCAAGGUAACUUCAGCAGGUGGAGAUGGAGGCGAAGGCGGAGGAGAAAGUGGAGGCGAAGGUGGAAGUGGAGGUGAAGGUGAAGGUGGAGGUGGAGGUGGCAGAGGUGGUAGUGGCAAUGGCAGUGGUACGACAGGGAAUGAAGGUCAAAACCCAGCCUCUGCAUCCGUAGCAUGGGGAGGAGCUUCCGAGCAUGGUUUCAUUGAACAGCUACCUUUAAUUCUAGUAGUUUUCUUGCUGGUCCAAGGAUGCAAAGUUUUUUUUAGGAGAACUAAGGGUAAUGGAGAUUUGAAUCUGACUCUAUCAUAUUGAG
This 592-nucleotide unclassified non-coding RNA is filed under the name Hevea brasiliensis (rubber tree). The record is from RNAcentral. Lineage: Eukaryota; Viridiplantae; Streptophyta; Magnoliopsida; Malpighiales; Euphorbiaceae.